RNAcentral lists this ribosomal RNA (185 nucleotides) under uncultured Allobrachymonas sp. RNAcentral describes it as "uncultured Brachymonas sp. partial 16S ribosomal RNA". It matches the Rfam family "Bacterial small subunit ribosomal RNA", at positions 1198 to 1382 of the family's 1533-position model. The record is from RNAcentral. Lineage: Bacteria; Pseudomonadati; Pseudomonadota; Betaproteobacteria; Burkholderiales; Comamonadaceae.
CCCUUUAUAGGUGGGGCUACACACGUCAUACAAUGGCCGGUACAGAGGGUAGCCAACCCGCGAGGGGGAGCUAAUCCCACAAAGCCGAUCGUAGUCCGGAUCGCAGUCUGCAACUCGACUGCGUGAAGUCGGAAUCGCUAGUAAUCGUGGAUCAGCAUGUCACGGUGAAUACGUUCCCGGGUCUU